GUAGGUGGCAAGCGUUGUCCGGAAUUAUUGGGCGUAGAGCGCGCGUAGGGUGGUUCUUUAAGUCUGAUGUGAAAGCCCCCGGGCUAAACCGGGGAGGGUCAUUGGAAAUUGGGGAACUUGAGUGCAGGAGAGGAAAGUGGAAUUCCACGUGUAGCGGUGAAAUGCGUAGAUAUGUGGAGGAACACCAGUGGCGAAGGCGACUUUCUGGCCUGUAACUGACACUGAGGCGCGAAAGCGUGGGGAGCAAACAGGAUUAGAUACCCUGGUAGUCCACGCCGUAAACGAUGAGUGCUAAGUGUUGGGGGGUUUCCGCCCCUCAGUGCUGCAGCUAACGCAUUAAGCACUCCGCCUGGGGAGUACGGUCGCAAGACUG
RNAcentral lists this ribosomal RNA (373 nucleotides) under uncultured organism. Its description in RNAcentral is "partial 16S ribosomal RNA". It matches the Rfam family "Bacterial small subunit ribosomal RNA", at positions 527 to 896 of the family's 1533-position model. The record is from RNAcentral.